AGAUGAAAGGUCUCAUCCUGAAAUCUCGUCCGUCCAUUCCCCUCCACAGAUGCUGCCUGACCCGCUGAGUUCUGCCAGCAGUUUGUUCUGCGAUACAACGUUCCACCUGCUCGGACUGUCCAGGUGGGUCAGUAACCAGAAGACACAGAGUUAAGGAGAUUGGCAGGAGACCAAGAGGGAAAGAUGAAGAGAAUGGGCCUUUCGAACCGGGGAUGUGGAAUGCACUGCCUGAAAGAACGACGGAAGAGAUGCUGCCUGACCCGCUGAAUUCCUCCAGCAUCUUGCACGUUGCUCCAAAUUCCAACAUCUGCCGUCUCCGGUCAACAUCUCAUAUCCCACCUGGGUCCUCUACAACCCAAUGGUAUGAACUUCGAAUUUUUUUUUAAUUUCAGGUAACCCUUACCUCCUG
Long non-coding RNA from Pristis pectinata (smalltooth sawfish), 409 nucleotides. RefSeq lists it as uncharacterized. NCBI's taxonomy places the organism in Eukaryota, Metazoa, Chordata, Chondrichthyes, Rhinopristiformes, Pristidae. The record is from RefSeq and is a predicted model, not a curated record. The transcript has 3 exons.